CCCUUAGAUGUCCUGGGCUGCACGCGCGCUACACUGAUGUGUCCAGUAAGCACCUAACCUCUUCCGAAAGGAACGGGUAACCUUUGCAAAGCACAUCGUGAUGGGGAUAGAUUAUUGCAAUUAUUAGUCUUGAACGAGGAAUUCCUAGUAAGCACAAGUCAUCAGCUUGUGUUGAUUACGUCCCUGCCCUUUGUACACACCGCCCGUCGCUCCUACCGAUUGGAUGUUCCGGUGAGCUCUUCGGACUGCGCGGUCUGCAGUUUCUGCGUUCCGUGCGGAAAGUUGCGCAAACCUUAACAUUUAGAGGAAGGAGAAGUCGUAACA
RNAcentral lists this ribosomal RNA (324 nucleotides) under uncultured eukaryote. RNAcentral describes it as "partial 18S ribosomal RNA". It matches the Rfam family "Eukaryotic small subunit ribosomal RNA", at positions 1470 to 1796 of the family's 1831-position model. The record is from RNAcentral.